RNA transcript from Onychostoma macrolepis, 4193 nucleotides. It is a transcript of the gene named Fc receptor-like protein 5, with no coding region annotated. The transcript is spliced from 12 exons. The record is from RefSeq and is a predicted model, not a curated record. Lineage: Eukaryota; Metazoa; Chordata; Actinopteri; Cypriniformes; Cyprinidae.
AUGGAGCUCAGUCAACUUCCUCUUGUGUUCUUGCUGAUUUCAAUCAUCCACUCUGGACAAACUGAAGAAAGACCAAAACCCAAAGUGACCAUUAAACCUGCUCAACAUGUGUUCAGAGGAGAGAAAGUCACUCUCAGAUGUGACAUAUAUGAUGAAGGAGUCACUAGCUGGAGCUACAGAUGGUAUAAAGAAGGUUUAAGCAGUGUUUUGAGUGAUGAACAGGAACACACAUUCAGUUCUGUUACUGAGUCUGACGCAGGUAAAUACUCCUGUUAUGGAUUUAAAGGAUCACGCUGGUCUCACCACAGUGAUGCAGUUACGCUGACAGUAUCAGGUGUUUCUAAACCAGCUCUGACUGUUGAGCCUCAGAGUUCAGUGUUCACUGGAGACUCAGUUACUCUGAGAUGUGAGGGGAUUCAGUCACAGAAUGGAUGGGAGUUUCUCUGGAGAAAAGACUCAAACCGUGAAUCUACUGGAGCUGCAACUAAAACAAUCAAACGUGUGACGGUCUCUGAUGGAGGAGAGUACAGCUGCAGAGCACGAAGAGGAAGAUAUUACACAGAUUACAGUAAACCAGCGGCAGUAACAAUACACGAAAGACCAAAACCCAAAGUGACCAUUAAACCUGCUCUACAUGUGUUCAGAGGAGAGACAGUCACUCUCAGAUGUGACAUAUAUGAUGAAGGAGUCACUAGCUGGAGCUACAGCUGGUAUAAAGAUAAUUCAAGUGUUUUCAGUGAUGGACAGGAACACACAUUCAGUUCUGUUACUGAGUCUGACGCAGGUGAAUACUCCUGUAAAGGAUCAGAGACAGAAGGAUCACGCUGGUCACAAACGAGUGAUAAAGUUACACUGACAGUAUCAGAUCCCAGAGCAGUUUUAAGUGUUUCUCCUCAGAAGUGGUUGACUGAAGGAGAUCCAGUGACUCUGAUCUGUGAGGUUCACAGCUUCUCUACAGGCUGGACAUUCAGCUGGUUCACUUUAACUGACUCAGCAGAUCAGUAUAAUCUGCUCUCAGACAGCAGCAGAGGAGCAGGAGGAAACUACACUGUCAGUUCUGCUGUAAAUCACACAGGAGUUUAUGUGUGCAGAGCAGAGAGAGAGAAAUCAGUCUAUAAAACACAGCACAGCAACACACAGCAGCUGUGGGUCACUGGUGUUUCUCCUCCAGUCUCUCUGAUCGUCAGUCCCAGCAGAACUCAACACUUCACAUCUGUCUCUCUCUCUCUGAGCUGUGAGGACCAGAGCAACUCUACUGGAUGGAGAGUGAGAAGAUACACAGACAGUGGACGGCUGGAAGAUUGUUCUUCAUUACGUCGAGGAUCACAAACAGGAUCUACAUGUACAAUCAGCUCCACCAUCACAUCACACACUGGAGUGUACUGGUGUCAGUCUGAAUCUGGAGAGAAACAUCAUCCUGUUAAUAUCACUGUACACUCUGGUGUGAUUCUGGAGAGUCCUGUUCAUCCUGUGACUGAAGGAGAUCAUCUGACUCUACGCUGUUUAUAUCGACACACAACCGCUCCAAACCUCAGAGCUGAUUUCUAUAAAGAUGGAUCACUCAUCCAGAAUCAAACUACAGAGAUGAACAUCACUACUGUCUCAAAGUCACAUGAGGGUUUCUACUCCUGCAAACACCCAGAGAGAGGAGCGUCACCCAAGAGCUGGAUCUCAGUCAGACGAGUCUCAAAUGAACACUGCUUGUUUGAUUCAGAAUCUCAGAUGUGUGUCCUCAACAUACUCAGUUCUGUUCUGGCAGCUUGUCCAUAUCUGCUAGUGACAGUCGUGCUGAUUUUCAGAUGCUGCAGAAUGAGAGUUGCAUCUGUUGAAGAGGAAACUUCAGUCUGAUAAUGAUUAAUCUGUUGCAACGGUGAGAAAACUUCAGCUUCAUCCUGAAAUCUCUCAGUAUCUCAUCCACAAGCUCAGACAGAGAUUCCAACAGUCGCGUUCAUCCGUUCACACGAGGGGUGAUUAGCAUUCACCGGAGAAGAGGCGAACCAGACAGCGCUCCGGUUGACCGGAAAGCCCGGAGUUCCUCUGUUGCUGGAGUGAGCUGAAGUACCGCGGGACCCAUCGCGUUCUAGAAGACAUCGGGCCUGCUCCGUAGGGUGUGUGAGGGAGAGACAGCGUGAAUGUGGGCCCACUUAAAGGACAUUUGUUAUUAGAUAUACUGAGGUUUUUUAUUUGGUUUUGAUCCCGAUUGUAAUCUUGAAUUCAGUUGGAAAUUUAUAUUAGGGAAUUCGUUUAAAUCCACAGGGAGUUUAACCCUUGAGGGUACAAGAGUUUGUUUUAUUUCCAAGUGUUAUUCCUUUAAAAGGAAUUCAGUUGACUUUGUACUUCAUUGCAAACUUGAAAAAGGUGGUACUUUUACAAUUUUGUUUACUUUGCUUUGCUUUAAUUAAUUCAUUUGCUUGAGCAGAUACAUAAAAAACACACAUAAAACAAGCUUUUGAAUUUUCCGUCUUUAUUGCAGCGGGAGAGAAACCAGUUAAGUGAUUUAUUGUAGUUAAACAUAUUGUAGUAAACUUAUCACAGAUACUAAUACUUACCCAGACCCCAGCUUUAAUGUAGCUGUGAUUGUUACUGGGUUACACAUGUUUUUGGAGUGACAACUAUAUGUAAAUGCAGGAAUAAUUCACUUUACUAUGUGUGUGUGUGUGUGUGUGUAAUACAGGAGUCACUCCUGAUUCCUGAUGACUAACCUUUUGACGUGUUAUAGUUGUUAAAGUCAACAUCAGCCAGCUUUGCCAACACACUUGACUUCCAUUGAUUCCAUUCCCAUUUGAUUUGAUUUACACUUUGGAAUAGCUAAGAAAGGGUCAAUUUUGAUUUCAUAUGUUUAACCAGUUUGGUUUUUGCUAUUUUUGACCAAUAAUGUAUUAUUGAUAAUAUGGACCAAAUCCUAAUGCGCUCUCCAAAGCUUUAUAACACAUUAUAACCACAUCAACACACUUUCAUUUGUAAGCAUGUAUAUUCCUCAUUUUAUUGUACGUCUCCUGCUGCAAUAUGUCAUGCUUUUAUAUGUUUAUGUUUCCUUUUUAAAUAAACUAUUUCUGCAGCUGAUGCUUAGUUAUAAAAAUAAAAUAAAAAAUGUCUCACAGUGUCAAUAGAAGUAGAAGAGCCAGGAUCAAGAACCAUUUACUUUAAUGGAUAAGAUUUAAUCUCAAAAUGUCUAUUUUUGUAUUAUUCACAGUGUAGGGGAAUGUACAGUAAAGACCCUCGGACCGGGUGUAUUGAAUGAAGACCAGAAGUCAAGAGAUUCGAUCAAAAAUGAAGAAAAUUUACUGAAGAUAGUUUGCAGUUUCAUCAGCAGAAGUCGGCUUCAACACUCGUGAUGGAGUUCGUAGGCCGCUCUGCGAACAUGUUCUAGACACCAACAGUUAUACUCUAACAGAGGUCACUAAUUACGUCAAUACAUAGGUAAGCAAGAUUCUGGUUGGUAGAUAAACUUAGAGUUUUACAUCCAUGUGUGGAGAUUUUCUAAGCAUAUCUUCUAGUGAUUAUUUUAGUGAUCAGAGGUCAGACGCAAUAGGUCUCUCCAGAGACGUAUAUCUGUUACCCUGGACAUCAGGGUGACGGCAAAUGAUGGUUUCCUCCGAGAUCUCUCUCUCUCUGCAUCUAGCUGCAAAGACAGACAUUCACACACAUACGCAGAGAACACUUAUCUGUACUUCAAGGUUGCCGGGCUCUGCCCUGAAUCUUAUCAAAUAUGGUUCACUACACACACACAAUGAGAGCAGCUUCUUAGAGAGUAAAAAGGCAGAAUAAAGCCAUAUUCAACUUAUUUUCAACAUGCAUAAAUGUAACUUUGAUAAAUUAUUAUUCAAGAAAUAUUAUAAUUAACAUUAUUAUGAGGGCCAUUGUAGAUCUGCAAUCCAUUGCUUCAACAGCAUAAUACUACUGUAAUCUACAGACAUGAUUACUGUUAGUAUCCAGAUAAAAAUAAUAUUAACUUUUUAAAAUUCCUUGCUGCAUGUUGCUUUAUUUAAAGGCAGCUCAUCACCCUUUAUUACUUUCAUUGCCUUCUGCUGUUUGUAAUUUACCCAUUUAGCUCUCCAUAUAAUACACCGUGUUCUCUUAUCUUUGUUGCUGAAGUAUUGUUUUGUCACGCUGUUCUUCUGUGUUUUAUUUUUUUAGGUCUAUUUUGAUUUCAUAUAACUUAUCAUAUAACAAAAAAUAUGAAUGUUGUUAAC